CAGUUGGGAAUCUUGGACAAUGGGGGAAACCCUGAUCCAGCCAUGCCGCGUGAGUGAUGAAGGCCUUCGGGUUGUAAAACUCUUUCGACGGGGACGAUAAUGACGGUACCCGUAGAAGAAGCUCCGGCUAACUUCGUGCCAGCAGCCGCGGUAAUACGAAGGGGGCUAGCGUUGUUCGGAAUUACUGGGCGUAAAGCGCGCGCAGGCGGCUAUCCAAGUCAGUGGUGAAAGCCCGGAGCUCAACUCCGGAACUGCCAUUGAAACUGUUUAGCUUGAGGACGAGAGAGGUGAGUGGAAUUCCCAGUGUAGAGGUGAAAUUCGUAGAUAUUGGGAAGAACACCGGUGGCGAAGGCGGCUCACUGGCUCGUUUCUGACGCUCAGGCGCGAUAGCGUGGGGAUCAAACAGGAUUAGA
Molecule: ribosomal RNA, 413 nt
Filed under: uncultured bacterium
Lineage: Bacteria
Description: bacterial SSU rRNA
Rfam family: Bacterial small subunit ribosomal RNA
Source: RNAcentral